AGAGUUUGAUCCUGGCUCAGAACGAACGCUGGCGGCGUGCCUAACACAUGCAAGUCGAGCGAGAAAGCCCGCAAGGGUGAGUAAAGCGGCGCACGGGUGCGUAACACGUGGGUAAUCUGCCCUAGAGUCCGGAAUAACUCGCCGAAAGGCGUGCUAAUGCCGGAUGAGACCACGGGAGCCUCGGCUCCUGCGGGAAAAGGUGGCCUCUGUACACAAGCUAUCGCUCUAGGAUGAGCCCGCGGCCCAUCAGCUCGUUGGCGGGGUAAUGGCCCACCAAGGCAACGACGGGUAGCUGGUCUGAGAGGACGAUCAGCCACACUGGAACUGAGACACGGUCCAGACUCCUACGGGAGGCAGCAGUGGGGAAUCUUGCGCAAUGGGCGAAAGCCUGACGCAGCAACGCCGCGUGUGUGAUGAAGGUCUUCGGAUCGUAAAGCACUGUCGCGAGGGACGAAUAAGGGACGGGCGAACAGUCCGUUUCGAUGACGGUACCUCGAGAGGAAGCACCGGCUAACUCUGUGCCAGCAGCCGCGGUAAUACAGAGGGUGCAAGCGUUGUUCGGAAUUAUUGGGCGUAAAGCGCGUGUAGGCGGCCUAGCAAGUCGGAUGUGAAAGCCCUCGGCUUAACCGAGGAAGUGCGUUCGAAACUACUGGGCUU
RNAcentral lists this ribosomal RNA (657 nucleotides) under Anaeromyxobacter dehalogenans. RNAcentral's name for it is "bacterial SSU rRNA". It matches the Rfam family "Bacterial small subunit ribosomal RNA", at positions 8 to 643 of the family's 1533-position model. The record is from RNAcentral. Lineage: Bacteria; Pseudomonadati; Myxococcota; Myxococcia; Myxococcales; Anaeromyxobacteraceae.